GCGGAGGCGGUGCGGGGGCGGCGGGCGACAGUGAGCCAGUCGCAGCCAACGCGGGCCCUGCCUGCCUGGCAACAGUCAGAGCCUCCCUCCCCUCCAGCCCCACCCAGGAGGAGAGCGCGGGAGUGCUGGGCGGCCUGCAGGUGCGGCGCGAUGCGAUGCACGGCUUUGUCCCCGCACGGCCUGGAGCAGUGCGCCGCCCGCCAAGGCUGAGUCAUGGCCGGGUGUGUGGCCAGAUGGCCCCACCCGCAUGGAUGCAGCGCUUGGCCCAGCCGGGUCUGGCUAGGGCGAUGGACUGGUGUGGCCACCACUAGGCUCGAGAAGCUGCUGAAGAUGCCCUGUUGCCGCCCAGCCCUGCCGGCGUGCCUCAUGUCUCCUGACAUGGCUGCCAGACAGUAGUCAGGAAUGUUGUCAUGAAGUAUGGCAAGCAUGUGUCUCUGUGUAGUUAGUAACUGUGUGCACCAUGAACCAGCACAAACGCGGUUCUGGAGUUCAGUCAUCUAAUUCACACUCUCACUUCCUGAGAUAGGAAUUAUGGUCUUCGUCUUCGUCUCUGGAGACUCUGAGAAGCAUCUGAGAAGCUUGCAUUCUCAGGCCCUGGUACCUAACCACUGCAUUGCAUGGCUGAUCUGUAAGCAUGUGGGUUACACAGCAAGGGAGAGGAUUCACCUCUCCCGUGACUCAUCAGAGAGCAAGACUGGGAUUUUCAACUUGCCUUAGCACCCUGCCUCUGUGUGAAGCUCUGAAGAUUGGCAUCGACAUGAGGUUGUUUAGAGGGGCUUUGCAAAGCUUUGGGUUCAAGCAAGCAUCCAAUCCAAGACUGACACAAAGUCAGCUUUCAAGGAAGGCAUAUUGGGAUUCAGGGAUUGUUGUGAAUGCGUCUCUCAAGCCCAGGGCUGACAAGUGCUCCCAGGACGCCGGGGAGUGUUGGUUUGCAAACUCCAUUGACUUCAGCGGCACACAUUGCCCCACCCUGACCACAUGUGUGGUGGUUGUCCUCACCCUAACCUGUUCCUCUCAGCUUUCCUUUGGUCUCCAGUCUCCACUCAUCUUCAAGGUCAAACUACACAUUCUCUUCCGCACUACCACCCUCUAGUGUACUGGGUCUCAACCCGUGGGUCUCGACCCCUUGAGGGGUCCUUUUAUGGGGCUCACCUAAGACCAUUGGAAAACACAGAUAUUUACAUUAUGAUUCAUAACAGUAAAAAUUACAGUUAUGAAGUAUCAGCAAAAAAAAUUUAUGGUUGGCAAACGGGUCACCAAAGCAGGAGGCACUGUGUUAAAGGGUGUCAGGGUCAGGAAGGGAGGGAACCCCUGAUCUAGAGCAUCGCUCUCGGGCCUGGGGCUGCAAGUCUGUGGUGAGAAGAGCCAACAGUGUGAGGCAGCGCAUGGGAAGUCUUACUCAUGUCUCUCUAGUUUAUUGUAAUCACCUUUAAGACUUGGCCAGGCAUGUCUGGGCCUUUGGACACUGUGUUACAUUGAAGGUGUUACAACAUUCAUACUCUAGAACUGUUUAAAAAAAAAAAAAGAAAAAACAAAAACUUCCCAGAAAUCGCUUAAUGUUUGCAGUGGAAACAGUUUUGUGUUGAGCUAUAUCCCAGCCCUUCUUGGCCACAGGUUGGACAUACCUAUAUCCUUAACCCUUUUGCUUGGGACGAGUUACAUGUCCAGUCCCCCAAAUUCAUACACUGAAGCUUGACUGGUUCAAAUAUGCACCCCCAAAAGUGUGUGUUAGGUAACCUUCAAGGCAAUAAUAGCAUUAAAGACCUGGGGCUGUUGGCAGAUGGGUAGGGCCCAGGACUUAGCGUGGUAAAAGCCCCGAGGCUAUGAAUUUGAGCUCUUUUACCCUCUGCCAUAGGAUGGUGAAGGAUGACUGUGUGCAGUUCUCAACCUUGGAAUUCCCAUCCUGAAGAGCAACGGUUCUUAACUUUCCUAGUGCUUCAGUCCUUUAAUACAAUUUCUUGUGCUGUAGGGAAUGACAUAAAAUCAUUUUGUUGCUAACUCA
Apodemus sylvaticus (European woodmouse) is the source of this 2002-nucleotide long non-coding RNA. RefSeq lists it as uncharacterized. The transcript is spliced from 2 exons. NCBI's taxonomy places the organism in Eukaryota, Metazoa, Chordata, Mammalia, Rodentia, Muridae. The record is from RefSeq and is a predicted model, not a curated record.